UACGUAGGGGGCUAGCGUUGUCCGGAAUCAUUGGGCGUAAAGUGCGUGUAGGCGGUUCGGUAAGUCCGCUGUGAAAGUCGGGGGCUCAACCCUCGGAUGCCGGUGGAUACUGUCGGACUAGAGUACGGAAGAGGCGAGUGGAAUUCCUGGUGUAGCGGUGAAAUGCGCAGAUAUCAGGAGGAACACCAAUUGCGAAGGCAGCUCGCUGGGACGUUACUGACGCUGAGACGCGAAAGCGUGGGGAGCAAACAGG
RNAcentral lists this ribosomal RNA (253 nucleotides) under uncultured bacterium. Its description in RNAcentral is "partial 16S ribosomal RNA". It matches the Rfam family "Bacterial small subunit ribosomal RNA", at positions 524 to 776 of the family's 1533-position model. The record is from RNAcentral.